RNAcentral lists this ribosomal RNA (409 nucleotides) under Salmonella enterica. RNAcentral describes it as "bacterial SSU rRNA". It matches the Rfam family "Bacterial small subunit ribosomal RNA", at positions 1135 to 1533 of the family's 1533-position model. The record is from RNAcentral. Lineage: Bacteria; Pseudomonadati; Pseudomonadota; Gammaproteobacteria; Enterobacterales; Enterobacteriaceae. RNAcentral also lists the same sequence under 1 other name.
GAACUCAAAGGAGACUGCCAGUGAUAAACUGGAGGAAGGUGGGGAUGACGUCAAGUCAUCAUGGCCCUUACGACCAGGGCUACACACGUGCUACAAUGGCGCAUACAAAGAGAAGCGACCUCGCGAGAGCAAGCGGACCUCAUAAAGUGCGUCGUAGUCCGGAUUGGAGUCUGCAACUCGACUCCAUGAAGUCGGAAUCGCUAGUAAUCGUGGAUCAGAAUGCCACGGUGAAUACGUUCCCGGGCCUUGUACACACCGCCCGUCACACCAUGGGAGUGGGUUGCAAAAGAAGUAGGUAGCUUAACCUUCGGGAGGGCGCUUACCACUUUGUGAUUCAUGACUGGGGUGAAGUCGUAACAAGGUAACCGUAGGGGAACCUGCGGUUGGAUCACCUCCUUACCUGAAAGAA